GUGCACACCCCUAACUCUAUUGAGCUAGGCAUUUCUAUUAGGUUAACCAGACUUGCUGGCCUCCGAGAAGGUAGCAGGGAAAAACAGGUUAACCAGACCUGCUGGCCUCCGAGAAGGUAGCAGGGGACCUGCUGGCCUCCGGGAAGGUAGCAGG
Molecule: long non-coding RNA, 154 nt
Organism: Dermochelys coriacea (leatherback sea turtle)
Lineage: Eukaryota; Metazoa; Chordata; Testudines; Dermochelyidae
Exons: 2
Source: RefSeq, a predicted model, not a curated record